RNAcentral lists this ribosomal RNA (253 nucleotides) under uncultured bacterium. RNAcentral describes it as "partial 16S ribosomal RNA". It matches the Rfam family "Bacterial small subunit ribosomal RNA", at positions 524 to 776 of the family's 1533-position model. The record is from RNAcentral.
GACAGAGGGUGCAAACGUUGUUCGGAAUUACUGGGCGUAAAGCGUACGCAGGUGGCGAAGCAAGUCGGAUGUGAAAGCCCGGGGCUCAACCCCGGAUGUGCAUCCGAUACUGUUUUGCUGGAGUCCGGAAGAGGAGAGCGGAAUUCCCAGUGUAGAGGUGAAAUUCGUAGAUAUUGGGAAGAACACCGGUGGCGAAGGCGGCUCUCUGGUCCGGUACUGACACUCAAGUACGAAAGCGUGGGGAGCAAACAGG